RNAcentral lists this ribosomal RNA (512 nucleotides) under uncultured bacterium. RNAcentral's name for it is "bacterial SSU rRNA". It matches the Rfam family "Bacterial small subunit ribosomal RNA", at positions 28 to 535 of the family's 1533-position model. The record is from RNAcentral.
GACGAACGCUGGCGGCGUGGAUUAGGCAUGCAAGUCGAACGGUAGGGUUCCUUCGGGGACCUGAGAGUGGCGAACGGGUGAGUAACACGUAGGUAAUCUACCCUCAAAUCGGGGACAACCCAGGGAACUUGGGCUAAUACCGGAUGAGUGCGCUUUCGGGUGCAUAAAAGGUGGCGUAAGCUGCUGUUUGGGGAUGAGCCUGCGCUCUAUUAGUUAGUUGGUGAGGUAACGGCUUACCAAGGCGAUGAUAGAUAGGCGGCCUUAACGGGUGGUCGCCCACACUGGGAUUGAGAUACGGCCCAGACUCCUACGGGAGGCAGCAGUCGAGAAUAGUCUACAAUGGACGAAAGUCUGAUAGUGCGACGCCGCGUGAAACGAAGAAGCCCUUCGGGGUGUAAAGUUCUUUUAUAUGUGAGCAAUGCUUCCUAGUGAAUAGUUUAGGAGAGAGAUAUUAGCAUAUGAAUAAGCAACGGCUAACUCCGUGCCAGCAGCCGCGGUAAUCUAGUCUACGC